UGUGCCAGCCGCCGCGGUAAUACGGAGGGUGCAAGCGUUAUCCGGAUUUAUUGGGUUUAAAGGGUCCGUAGGCGGACUUAUAAGUCAGUGGUGAAAGCCUGUCGCUUAACGAUAGAACUGCCAUUGAUACUGUAAGUCUUGAGUAUAUUUGAGGUAGCUGGAAUAAGCAGUGUAGCGGUGAAAUGCAUAGAUAUUACUUAGAACACCAAUUGCGAAGGCAGGUUACCAAGAUAUAACUGACGCUGAGGGACGAAAGCGUGGGGAGCGAACAGGAUUAGAUACCCUGGUAGUCCACGCCGUAAACGAUGCUAACUCGUUUUUGGAGCGCAAGCUUCAGAGACCAAGCGAAAGUGAUAAGUUAGCCACCUGGGGAGUACGCUCGCAAGAGUGAAACUCAAAGAAAUUGAAAGGG
RNAcentral lists this ribosomal RNA (412 nucleotides) under uncultured bacterium. RNAcentral describes it as "bacterial SSU rRNA". It matches the Rfam family "Bacterial small subunit ribosomal RNA", at positions 504 to 918 of the family's 1533-position model. The record is from RNAcentral.